GACGAACGCUGGCGGCGUGCUUAACACAUGCAAGUCGAACGGAAAGGUCCUGCUUUUGUGGUGUGCUCGAGUGGCGAACGGGUGAGUAACACGUGAGUAACCUGCCCUUGACUUUGGGAUAACUUCAGGAAACUGGGGCUAAUACCGGAUAGGAGCUCCCGCUGCAUGGUGGGGGUUGGAAAGUUUCGGCGGUUGGGGAUGGACUCGCGGCUUAUCAGCUUGUUGGUGGGGUAGUGGCUUACCAAGGCUUUGACGGGUAGCCGGCCUGAGAGGGUGACCGGCCACAUUGGGACUGAGAUACGGCCCAGACUCCUACGGGAGGCAGCAGUGGGGAAUAUUGCACAAUGGGCGGAAGCCUGAUGCAGCAACGCCGCGUGCGGGAUGACGGCCUUCGGGUUGUAAACCGCUUUCGCCUGUGACGAAGCGUGAGUGACGGUAAUGGGUAAAGAAGCACCGGCUAACUACGUG
This 468-nucleotide ribosomal RNA is filed under the name uncultured bacterium. RNAcentral describes it as "partial 16S ribosomal RNA". It matches the Rfam family "Bacterial small subunit ribosomal RNA", at positions 28 to 507 of the family's 1533-position model. The record is from RNAcentral.